RNAcentral lists this ribosomal RNA (881 nucleotides) under Aster yellows phytoplasma. RNAcentral's name for it is "bacterial SSU rRNA". It matches the Rfam family "Bacterial small subunit ribosomal RNA", at positions 263 to 1154 of the family's 1533-position model. Lineage: Bacteria; Bacillati; Mycoplasmatota; Mollicutes; Acholeplasmatales; Acholeplasmataceae. The record is from RNAcentral.
GCCUACCAAGACUAUGAUGUGUAGCCGGGCUGAGAGGUUGAACGGCCACAUUGGGACUGAGACACGGCCCAAACUCCUACGGGAGGCAGCAGUAGGGAAUUUUCGGCAAUGGAGGAAACUCUGACCGAGCAACGCCGCGUGAACGAUGAAGUAUUUCGGUACGUAAAGUUCUUUUAUUAGGGAAGAAUAAAUGAUGGAAAAAUCAUUCUGACGGUACCUAAUGAAUAAGCCCCGGCUAACUAUGUGCCAGCAGCCGCGGUAAUACAUAGGGGGCAAGCGUUAUCCGGAAUUAUUGGGCGUAAAGGGUGCGUAGGCGGUUAAAUAAGUUUAUGGUCUAAGUGCAAUGCUCAACAUUGUGAUGCUAUAAAAACUGUUUAGCUAGAGUAAGAUAGAGGCAAGUGGAAUUCCAUGUGUAGUGGUAAAAUGCGUAAAUAUAUGGAGGAACACCAGUAGCGAAGGCGGCUUGCUGGGUCUUUACUGACGCUGAGGCACGAAAGCGUGGGGAGCAAACAGGAUUAGAUACCCUGGUAGUCCACGCCGUAAACGAUGAGUACUAAACGUUGGGUAAACCAGUGUUGAAGUUAACACAUUAAGUACUCCGCCUGAGUAGUACGUACGCAAGUAUGAAACUUAAAGGAAUUGACGGGACUCCGCACAAGCGGUGGAUCAUGUUGUUUAAUUCGAAGGUACCCGAAAAACCUCACCAGGUCUUGACAUGCUUCUGCAAAGCUGUAGAAACACAGUGGAGGUUAUCAGUUGCACAGGUGGUGCAUGGUUGUCGUCAGCUCGUGUCGUGAGAUGUUGGGUUAAGUCCCGCAACGAGCGCAACCCUUAUUGUUAGUUACCAGCACGUAAUGGUGGGGACUUUAGCAAGACUGCCA